UGAACGCUGGCGGCAUGCCUUACACAUGCAAGUCGAACGGCAGCACGGGUGCUUGCACCUGGUGGCGAGUGGCGAACAGGUGAGUAAUACAUCGGAACAUGUCCUGUAGUGGGGGAUAGCCCGGCGAAAGCCGGAUUAAUACCGCAUACGAUCUACGGAUGAAAGCGGGGGACCUUCGGGCCUCGCGCUAUAGGGUUGGCCGAUGGCUGAUUAGCUAGUUGGUGGGGUAAAGGCCUACCAAGGCGACGAUCAGUAGCUGGUCUGAGAGGACGACCAGCCACACUGGGACUGAGACACGGCCCAGACUCCUACGGGAGGCAGCAGUGGGGAAUUUUGGACAAUGGGCGAAAGCCUGAUCCAGCAAUGCCGCGUGUGUGAAGAAGGCCUUCGGGUUGUAAAGCACUUUUGUCCGGAAAGAAAUCCUUGGCUCUAAUACAGUCGGGGGAUGACGGUACCGGAAGAAUAAGCACCGGCUAACUACGUGCCAGCAGCCGCGGUAAUACGUAGGGUGCGAGCGUUAAUCGGAAUUACUGGGCGUAAAGCGUGCGCAGGCGGUUUGCUAAGACCGAUGUGAAAUCUCCGGGCUCAACCUGGGAACUGCAUUGGUGACUGGCAGCUAGAGUAUGGCAGAGGGGGGUAGAAUUCCACGUGUAGCAGUGAAAUGCGUAGAGAUGUGGAGGAAUACCGAUGGCGAAAGCAGCCCCCUGGGCCAAUACUGACGCUCAUGCACGAAAGCGUGGGGAGCAAACAGGAUUAGAUACUCUGGGUAGUCCACCGUCCUAAACGAUGUCAACUAGUUGUUGGGGAUUCAUUUCCUUAGUAACGUAGCUAACGCGUGAAAGUUGACCGCCUGGGGAGUACGGUCGCAAGAUUAAAACUCAAAGGAAUUGACGGGGACCCGCACAAGCGGUGGAUGAUGUGGAUUAAUUCGAUGCAACGCGAAAAACCUUACCUACCCUUGACAUGGUCGGAAUCCUGCUGAGAGGUGGGAGUGCUCGAAAGAGAACCGGCGCACAGGUGCUGCAUGGCUGUCGUCAGCUCGUGUCGUGAGAUGUUGGGUUAAGUCCCGCAACGAGCGCAACCCUUGUCCUUAGUUGCUACGCAAGAGCACUCUAAGGAGACUGCCGGUGACAAACCGGAGGAAGGUGGGGAUGACGUCAAGUCCUCAUGGCCCUUAUGGGUAGGGCUUCACACGUCAUACAAUGGUCGGAACAGAGGGUUGCCAACCCGCGAGGGGGAGCUAAUCCCAGAAAACCGAUCGUAGUCCGGAUUGCACUCUGCAACUCGAGUGCAUGAAGCUGGAAUCGCUAGUAAUCGCGGAUCAGCAUGCCGCGGUGAAUACGUUCCCGGGUCUUGU
This 1357-nucleotide ribosomal RNA is filed under the name uncultured beta proteobacterium. Its description in RNAcentral is "16S ribosomal RNA". It matches the Rfam family "Bacterial small subunit ribosomal RNA", at positions 30 to 1384 of the family's 1533-position model. The record is from RNAcentral. Lineage: Bacteria; Pseudomonadati; Pseudomonadota; Betaproteobacteria.